AAAAAUAUUUGGUCUCGUGCCAAAUUUACACCUGUGUGCACCAUUGUCUGUAUUUGGUAGCUCGAGCGCGCUCCGGAAGCUCAACACUUCCAUUAGGGGCGCCUACCCUUGCGGGUCACAUCCCGCUUGGGUUGGGCUACCGCCUUUUUUUUUGAAAAACCUUUUUUAUUUUGUCUUUUUGUCUGAACGAAGAGUUGAUCUUAAUUGAUUAAUGAUUUGAAAA
This 223-nucleotide unclassified non-coding RNA is filed under the name soil metagenome. Its description in RNAcentral is "partial internal transcribed spacer 1". The record is from RNAcentral.